This is a long non-coding RNA of Mesocricetus auratus (golden hamster), 755 nucleotides long. RefSeq lists it as uncharacterized. Lineage: Eukaryota; Metazoa; Chordata; Mammalia; Rodentia; Cricetidae. The record is from RefSeq and is a predicted model, not a curated record. The transcript has 4 exons.
CCACUGUGCCGCCGAAUGUCGGAGAACCCCUCUGUGCACCAUGACUGCAUCAUCUCGUGAUUCCACAGUGCCCUAGCACCACAAGGAUGCCAGCCGGGGCCUCCAGCGAGUGGAAAUCUGUAACCUGCUGGGAGACCACAGCUGUCCUUCCUUGAGCAGCCCCUGCAGUAACUCCCGGGCUUGAACAAUAGGAAGUCAAGGAGAGGAGUUCCUGCUCAUUAUUCACAGCAACUAGAUGUUGAGAGAAACUCCGCUCACACCAAAGCACAAACCUCCUCCAAGACGAGUGUCUGAGCUGGUGGCAGAUAAGAGAAAUUCCUGGUCACCAAGAUGGGAAGACAGGAAAGCGACCGGACUACCCAGAGGGAAGAAGACCCAGAAGCAAGUGCAUCCCUGAUGGUGCCGGGUAACUGACCCUAGCUGUGCCUCCCAGCCAACUCCACCUGAAGCCACAUUGUUGAUUCAAACACAGAUCUCAGGAUGUAGGAAGAACCUCGGGAAGUGUUAUACGGAUAACUGCACAAACCAGGAGGCCCAAUGGUCUCCACAAAACUAAGUCCAGAUUGCUUUUUGUGCUUGCUAGCAUACAGUCAACUUGACAGAAACCAGGGUCAUGGGGAAGAAGAAAGCUCCACUGAGAAAAUGCCUCUAUUCUGCAGACUAACCUACAGGUUCCUGCCCUGGUUGAGUUCCCGCCUUGGCUCCCUGCAUCAUGAACUGUAAGCUGUAAGAUGAAAUAAACUCUUUCUUCACUG